This 2925-nucleotide ribosomal RNA is filed under the name Paenibacillus sp. Y412MC10. RNAcentral describes it as "bacterial LSU rRNA". It matches the Rfam family "Bacterial large subunit ribosomal RNA". Lineage: Bacteria; Bacillati; Bacillota; Bacilli; Caryophanales; Paenibacillaceae. The record is from RNAcentral.
UUAAGCUACUAAGAGCACACGGAGGAUGCCUAGGCGCUAGGAGCCGAAGAAGGACGUGGCGAACAACGAUACUGCCUCGGGGAGCUGUAAGCAAGCUUCGAUCCGGGGAUGUCCGAAUGGGGAAACCCAGCUAGUGUAAUAGCUAGUUACCCGUAUCUGAAUACAUAGGAUGCGAGGAGGCAUACCCAGGGAACUGAAACAUCUAAGUACCUGGAGGAAGAGAAAACAAGAGUGAUUCCGUCAGUAGCGGCGAGCGAACGCGGAACAGCCUAAACCAGAGAGCUUGCUCUCUGGGGUUGUGGGACGUCUCACAUGGAGUUACAAAGGAAUGUAUUAGGCGAAGAGGUCUGGAAAGGCCCGCUAUAAGAGGUAAAAGCCCUGUAGCCGAAAGUAUAUUCCCUCCGAGACGGAUCCCGAGUAGUGCGGGGCACGUGAAACCCCGUAUGAAUCCAGCAGGACCAUCUGCUAAGGCUAAAUACUCCCUAGCGACCGAUAGUGAAGCAGUACCGUGAGGGAAAGGUGAAAAGCACCCCGGAAGGGGAGUGAAAUAGAACCUGAAACCGUGUGCUUACAAGAAGUCAGAGCCCUAUUUAUGGGUGAUGGCGUGCCUUUUGUAGAAUGAACCGGCGAGUUACGUUCCCAUGCAAGGUUAAGGCGAGAAGCCGUAGCCGCAGCGAAAGCGAGUCUGAAUAGGGCGACUUAGUAUGUGGGCGUAGACCCGAAACCGUGUGAUCUACCCCUGUCCAGGGUGAAGGUGCGGUAACACGCACUGGAGGCCCGAACCCACGUAUGUUGAAAAAUGCGGGGAUGAGGUGGGGGUAGCGGAGAAAUUCCAAUCGAACUCGGAGAUAGCUGGUUCUCCCCGAAAUAGCUUUAGGGCUAGCCUCGGAAUGAAGAGUCGUGGAGGUAGAGCACUGAUUGGGUGCGGGGCCCGCAAGGGUUACCAAGCUCAGUCAAACUCCGAAUGCCAUAGACUUAUAUCCGGGAGUCAGACAGUGAGUGCUAAGAUCCAUUGUCAAAAGGGAAACAGCCCAGACCAUCAGCUAAGGUCCCCAAGUGUGUGUUAAGUGGGAAAGGAUGUGGAGUUGCACAGACAACCAGGAUGUUGGCUUAGAAGCAGCCACCAUUUAAAGAGUGCGUAAUAGCUCACUGGUCGAGUGACUCUGCGCCGAAAAUGUAACGGGGCUAAACACACCACCGAAGCUAUGGCUUGAUGCGUAUGCAUCAGGGGUAGGGGAGCGUUGUAUGUAGGUUGAAGGUGUACCGUAAGGAGCGCUGGACAGCAUACAAGUGAGAAUGCCGGUAUGAGUAACGAAAAGAUCAGUGAGAAUCUGAUCCGCCGAAAGCCCAAGGUUUCCUGAGGAAGGCUCGUCCGCUCAGGGUAAGUCGGGACCUAAGGUGAGGCCGAAAGGCGUAAUCGAAGGACAACAGGUUGAAAUUCCUGUACCACCGUAAACCGUUAUGAACGAUGGGGUGACGCAGGAGGGUAGUGACGCGGACUGAUGGAUGUCCGUCCAAGCAGUGAGGCUGAUGUGUAGGCAAAUCCGCACAUCGUAAGGCUGGGCUGUGAUGGGGAGUGAAAAUUAUAGUAGCGAAGGUCAUGAUCUCACACUGCCAAGAAAAGCCUCUAGUCAGGUGAAGGUGCCCGUACCGCAAACCGACACAGGUAGGCGAGAAGAGAAUUCUAAGGCGCGCGGAAGAACUCUCGUUAAGGAACUCGGCAAAAUGACCCCGUAACUUCGGGAGAAGGGGUGCCUCGGUAGGGUGAAUAGCCCGAGGGGGCCGCAGUGAAAAGGCCCAAGCGACUGUUUAGCAAAAACACAGGUCUGUGCGAAGCCGUAAGGCGAAGUAUACGGGCUGACGCCUGCCCGGUGCUGGAAGGUUAAGGGGAGCGGUUAGGAGCAAUCCGAAGCUGUGAACCGAAGCCCCAGUAAACGGCGGCCGUAACUAUAACGGUCCUAAGGUAGCGAAAUUCCUUGUCAGGUAAAUUCUGACCCGCACGAAUGGCGUAACGACUUGGGCGCUGUCUCAACGAGAGAUCCGGUGAAAUUUUAAUACCUGUGAAGAUGCAGGUUACCCGCGACAAGACGGAAAGACCCCAUGGAGCUUUACUGCAGCUUGAUAUUGGAUUUGGGUACGAUCUGUACAGGAUAGGUGGGAGCCUUUGAAGCAUGAGCGCCAGCUUGUGUGGAGGCGACGUUGGGAUACCACCCUGAUCGUAUCUAGGUUCUAACCUGGUACCGUGAUCCGGUACGGGGACAGUGUCAGGCGGGCAGUUUGACUGGGGCGGUCGCCUCCUAAAGAGUAACGGAGGCGCCCCAAGGUUCCCUCAGAAUGGUUGGAAAUCAUUCGAAGAGUGCAAAGGCAUAAGGGAGCUUGACUGCGAGACCUACAAGUCGAGCAGGGACGAAAGUCGGGCUUAGUGAUCCGGUGGUACCGCAUGGAAGGGCCAUCGCUCAACGGAUAAAAGCUACCCUGGGGAUAACAGGCUUAUCUCCCCCAAGAGUCCACAUCGACGGGGAGGUUUGGCACCUCGAUGUCGGCUCAUCGCAUCCUGGGGCUGAAGUAGGUCCCAAGGGUUGGGCUGUUCGCCCAUUAAAGCGGUACGCGAGCUGGGUUCAGAACGUCGUGAGACAGUUCGGUCCCUAUCUGUCGUGGGCGUAGGAAAUUUGAGAGGAGCUGUCCUUAGUACGAGAGGACCGGGAUGGACGUACCGCUGGUGCACCAGUUGUUCCGCCAGGAGCAUGGCUGGGUAGCUACGUACGGACGGGAUAAGCGCUGAAAGCAUCUAAGCGUGAAGCCCCCCUCAAGAUGAGAUUUCCCAAUUCGUAAGACCCCUUGAAGACGACGAGGUAGAUAGGUUGGAGGUGGAAGUGCAGCAAUGCAUGGAGCUGACCAAUACUAAUCGGUCGAGGGCUUAUCCAA